This 846-nucleotide long non-coding RNA is filed under the name Androctonus crassicauda. Lineage: Eukaryota; Metazoa; Arthropoda; Arachnida; Scorpiones; Buthidae. The record is from RNAcentral.
AGACAUUGAUCCGGAGGGAAAGAAAUUCGACAGAGGUAACGUUAAUUAGUUCAAAUUCAUUUAAUUUAAAUGUUGCUGUAGAGUUUUAUCGAUUAGUGAUUUUAAUAAAAGAGCAGGGAUGCCGUGUCGAACGAGUCUGGACAAACCACGUGGUUUACGUCGAUACGUAUACACAAAACUACUUUGUUUUAUUUACUUUCUCAAAUAGUUUCCUAUACGAUCAUCAGUUAAUUGGAGGGUUGCAACUUAGGCGAAAACAGUAAAAAAAGUAUUUACAGGAAUUAAUUACCGAAACAUAAGUGACGUCACUAAAAUAUUGCGCAUCGCACGCAAAGUGCAGUUACUUUGCGGAUAUCUUGGCCUUCGGAGGUUCAGGUAGGUGUAUAUACACACAAAACUUUUACCCGUACAUCUGUCGCAGCGCGGUUAUUAGAAUCUGCAACAUAUUCUAUGGCAAACAGUCGCCAGCUGAUCGGACGAUGUUUAGUUGUCGCCGAUGAUGUUUCUGAGCGCUCUCCGUCAAUUCCCUUUGUAAACGGACGAGCGAUUGGUAGAGGCAACCGGAUGACGAAACACUGGCGUAAAGCCUUACUCGUUAGCUGGACGUUCGAGAUGGAGGGAGGAGAAAUCGGGGGAACUAAGUUGCGUACGUGGAAGAAACGACGCAGUCCGUAGAUUGACACCGAGUGGUAUGCUAUGCAACUUUGUUAUAUCAAUACGACCGUACUUUUUUGUGUGGUUUAUCUAUUGCCGUCGCCGAUGGACGAUAACCAAUAUAAGGUUAUCAGAUAACCACUUCAAAUAUCGACAGUGAGUCGUCUACAAUGCGAAAGCGAAUCGUUCAAA